UUAGUGUAUCAAAAAAGAGGAGGUGGCGACUGUUUACUAAAAACACAGGACUCUGCUAAAUUGUAAAAUGAUGUAUAGAGUCUGACGCCUGCCCAGUGCUGCAAGAUAAAGUAUUACAAGUCUCGCUUGUUGAUAUAAGUCCCAGUAAACGGCGGCUGUAACCCUGACGGUCCGAAGGUAGCGAAAUUCAUUGGCGGGUAAGUUCCGUCCUGCAUGAAUGGCGUAACGACUGCCUCACUGUCUCCAGCUACAAUCCAGUGAAAUUGAAGAAUAGGUGAAAAUGCCUAAUAUGAACAGCGGGACGGAAAGACCCUAUGCACCUUUACUAGAACCUUAAAUUAUAUUGAAUUUUAAUGCUGCGCGGUAGGCGUUUGCUGAUAACCGUGUGUGUUAAGAUUCAACAUUUAAUGAUGUAUAAACGUAAAUUAGAUAAAAUCUAUUUUCAUUAUAGUUUAAGGAUGCUAGUUUCGCUGGGGCGGUGACCUCCUAAAAAGUAACGGGGGUGCGCAAUGGUUUAGUAAAGCAUACGUGUAUGCGAGUAUUGUAAUGAAUUAAACUAAGCUUGAUUUUAAAAUUUACCGAUUUUAAAAGGGUGAAGAAAUUCGCCUGCCAUAGUGACCCGAUAGUUAACAUUUAUUGAUAAAGCUAUCGAUUAACGGAUAAAAGGUACGCUAGGGAUAACAGGCUAAUAACUCCUAAGAGUUCCCAUCGACGGAGUUGGUUGGCACCUCGAUGUCGGCUCAUCGCAUCCUGGAGCUGAAGCAGGUUCCAAGGGUUUGGCUGUUCGCCAAUUAAAGCGGUACGCGAGCUGGGUUCAGAACGUCG
RNAcentral lists this ribosomal RNA (825 nucleotides) under Favella ehrenbergii. Its description in RNAcentral is "partial Bacterial large subunit ribosomal RNA". It matches the Rfam family "Bacterial large subunit ribosomal RNA", at positions 1771 to 2621 of the family's 2925-position model. Lineage: Eukaryota; Ciliophora; Spirotrichea; Tintinnida; Xystonellidae. The record is from RNAcentral.